Gossypium hirsutum (cotton) is the source of this 107-nucleotide non-coding RNA. NCBI's taxonomy places the organism in Eukaryota, Viridiplantae, Streptophyta, Magnoliopsida, Malvales, Malvaceae. The record is from Rfam.
AUACCAUGAUGAAGGGAUUUUCAUAAAAAUUAAUUAAAUCAUUCCCAAGCAUCAUACAAGGACUCGUCCUCAGAUUGUUAAAAAGUAGUAAUUUCAUUUUUGAGCUU